This 296-nucleotide long non-coding RNA is filed under the name Elaeis guineensis (African oil palm). RNAcentral describes it as "long non-coding RNA (EGUI_LNC008972)". The record is from RNAcentral. Lineage: Eukaryota; Viridiplantae; Streptophyta; Magnoliopsida; Arecales; Arecaceae.
UAGCAUAGAUCUAAUGUGGUUAGCCACAUGUAGCAUCUUAUUUUCCCGUCCUUGUAACACCCUCAUCAUGGUUGGCCCUAACUGAGAGAGAAGGGCUCUCACCCAUAGGCCGGUCCUACUCAACCUCGGUGGCCAAUGAAGAUGCACAUGACUAAUAAGACUUGUGACCCAUAAUAUAAAUAAUAACAAAAUCUUAAUCAAUCUAAUAUUUUUCAUUUAUAAUUGUUGGCCAAUUAUAGUUUAUUUUUUCAGUGUAAAUAUGCACUCUCUCUCUAACACAACAAUUAAAGACAAUG